RNAcentral lists this ribosomal RNA (482 nucleotides) under uncultured bacterium. RNAcentral describes it as "partial 16S ribosomal RNA". It matches the Rfam family "Bacterial small subunit ribosomal RNA", at positions 30 to 507 of the family's 1533-position model. The record is from RNAcentral.
AUUGAACGCUGGCGGCAUGCCUUACACAUGCAAGUCGAACGGUAACGGGCCUUCGGGUGCCGACGAGUGGCGAACGGGUGAGUAAUACAUCGGAACGUGCCCGAUCGUGGGGGAUAACGAGACGAAAGCUUUGCUAAUACCGCAUACGAUCUACGGAUGAAAGCAGGGGACCGCAAGGCCUUGCGCGGACGGAGCGGCCGAUGGCAGAUUAGGUAGUUGGUGGGAUAAAAGCUUACCAAGCCGACGAUCUGUAGCUGGUCUGAGAGGAUGAUCAGCCACACUGGGACUGAGACACGGCCCAGACUCCUACGGGAGGCAGCAGUGGGGAAUUUUGGACAAUGGGCGCAAGCCUGAUCCAGCCAUGCCGCGUGCAGGAUGAAGGCCUUCGGGUUGUAAACUGCUUUUGUACGGAACGAAAAGCCUUCUUUUAAUACAGGAGGGUCAUGACGGUACCGUAAGAAUAAGCACCGGCUAACUACGUG